This 240-nucleotide unclassified non-coding RNA is filed under the name soil metagenome. Its description in RNAcentral is "partial contains 5.8S ribosomal RNA, internal transcribed spacer 2, and large subunit ribosomal RNA". The record is from RNAcentral.
AACAUCGCGCACCUGCGGGAACCUGCGGAAGGAUCAUUACAGAGUUCGUGCCCUCGCGGGUAGAUCUCCCACCCUUGUGUAUUCUCUACAUCUUGUUGCUUUGGCAGGCCGUUGGUUCGCCAACCACCGGCUCGCGGGCUGGUGCGUGCCUGCCAGAGGACCUCUCAAACUCGGUUUGUUAGUGUCGUCUGAGUACCAUAACAAUCGUUAAAACUUUCAACAACGGAUCUCAGAUCGGAA